This is a long non-coding RNA of Homalodisca vitripennis (glassy-winged sharpshooter), 1350 nucleotides long. RefSeq lists it as uncharacterized. The transcript has 2 exons. NCBI's taxonomy places the organism in Eukaryota, Metazoa, Arthropoda, Insecta, Hemiptera, Cicadellidae. The record is from RefSeq and is a predicted model, not a curated record.
GAUGUUUAGUUAUUAUUGAGAGUAAUUUGCAGUAUUAAAAAGUAAAUUUAAAUAUUUUGUAUUUUCUUUAGUGUAGAAGGUUAAAGUAUAAAAUUACAUUUCAAGAGUUACAAACUUCUUGGUCGAGCGGCUGGCGCCUGCUCGAUUGAGCGUGAAGACCGCCAGACUGCCCAGGACGGUGUUGCCCACGAAGGAGGAAAGGCAAGAUUUAUAAGCUCUGUUUAGGUUUAAUGGACCCUUAGAUAUCCAGUCAAGAUAAACAUUAAACAAUGAAGUAAUCAACUCGCCAGAAGCAGAAAUAUCUUAAGUGAACCCACCUUAUUCCAAGUUUAACAUAGGAACUAUAACUUAUCAUGGUGUUAUAACAAAACAUCUCUUAAUUUAUGCAUCUCAAGAACUCACUUGAGUUAUUCAUAUUACAGAAGAUUGUAAGAGAAAGUGAAGUAUAAGUAUAACAUCAAUAGUUAAUCUCAAAACCCCUAUUCUCAGGGCACGGAUCUCAAAACAACAUCCACUACUAGACAAACAAAAGUUGAAAAUGGCAUCUACAUCACAGAUUACGCAACAAACUUACAGUAUCUUGCAUACCAAUUGAAACAUCAUUGAUUUAUGUAUACACCCCGUAAGUCACGUAACAGGCCUCGCUGAGGUUUCAUGACAACUUCAAGUCUACAGCUUAUUUCAUCAGACUAGUAUUAAUUACUAAGGCACAUGUUAAAGUGGCAUACGGUUAUGCUCAGUUUGUUUACAAAUUGAUUUAAUCUCCCAAUCUAUCUUUGGAUAUCUUGGGGUUACCCACAAGACCAAUUUACAAACUUUCGCUAGCGCUCAGUCAAUUCCCAUGGAGUGAGACGCACUAUUAUCGAACUUCAUGUUAUUUAUAUAGAAAUAAAGCUUCAUGGGAAAAUUUAAAUUCUAUAGGUCAGUUUGUUAUCGAGAUAGUAGACUGAUAGAAAUGCAAUUUUCCAGCCAUACGAGGAAUAGACUUCGCUAGCGCUUAGCCAGACACGGGUCAUAUAAUAAUGAAACUCAUGUAGUACGCCUCAUUAUUCCAUAACAUUAGCAAUGGAAUGUAGGCUCGAGUGGUGAUGUGUUUUCAUAACAUUUAAAUAUGCAAUAUGAAGCUGAAUGAACUUCAGUAGACAUUUAAUAAGUUCGCCGACUUGAUAACACUGUGAUUUCGAUCAUCCUUGGUACAGUUAUUAAUUUUGAAAUCAAUCUAUGAGGUCCAAAUCUUGAAAGUUCAGAGUCAGCCAAAGUCUACAGCUCCAACGUCUAAUAGAGUAUACAAUUUUCAUUUUUAAAUAUCAAUUAUUUUAUCUUAAUAAAAAAUUUCUAAAAAGAUAUAAA